Molecule: non-coding RNA, 420 nt
Organism: Colossoma macropomum (tambaqui)
Lineage: Eukaryota; Metazoa; Chordata; Actinopteri; Characiformes; Serrasalmidae
Source: the annotation of a RefSeq genome assembly
AUGUAUCUCACGUCUUUACUGCUGCUGCUGAUUGCAGGAUGUGUCCACUCUCAGAUUGUUCUCACACAGUCUGAGAGGUCAGUAACAGUGGCUCCAGGUGGAUCCCACAAACUGACCUGUGCCUGCAGUGGAUUCACUGUGGGCAGCUAUAAUAUGUACUGGGUUCGUCAGGCUCCUGGGAAAGAACUGGAGUGGAUCGUAUUCUAUUACACCAGUUCUGUCAAGAGCUCAGCUCAGUCAGUUCAGGGCAGAUUCACAGCAUCCAAGGACAGCUCUAAUCUCUACCUGCACAUGAGUCAACUGAAGCCUGAAGACACUGCAGUGUAUUACUGUGCUCUGGACUCACUGCGGUGGAACUCAUACAGACAGCUGUACAAAAACUGGAGACACUAUACACAUUGCCAUUAUUUAAUCUCAUGA